UCACGCGUCCAAGCAGCCUGUCCACAUCCUCGGGGGUAACGGAUUGAAAUUGAUUCCAUGCAACUUGACCAGACAGGGCUCUAGCACUCUCCCGCCCCAGCCCUGCUCCCAUGGUGGUGUCUAGCUCCUUCCGAAUAUGAGUGAUUUUAUCUGCAAAAAACUUUGCAAAAUCGUUGCAGGAGAUCUUGGGGUCUUUACAAGGCCCCGGUGGUAAAGGUGGUUCCGUUAAAUUGCGGACCACCUGAAAGAGUCUCCUGCUACUAUUUUCUGCAGAUGGAAUAGAGGCGGUGAAGAAAGUCUUCUUCGCCGUCGCUAUCGCCACUUGGUAGGCUCGACGUUGAACUCUAACCUGUGUCCGGUCAGAUUUGGAAUGAGUUUUCUGGCGCCGACGCUCUAGCCGCCUAAGCAAUUGUUUCAUUGCCCUCAGCUCCGAAGAAAACCACGGGGCUGUCUGGGCUCCAUGCAAUUGGAUAGGGCGCUUCGGAGCCAGACAGUUGAUAGCCCUGGUUAACUCCGCAUUCCAGCAGGCCACCAGGGAAUCAGCUGAAAGGCCUUCAACAUGGGAUAAAGCAUGCCCUACCACUCUCUGGAAACCAUUUGGACCCAUUAAGUGGCGGGGGCGGACCAUCCAAAUUGGUCCCACCUCCCUGCAGAGGGGAAGGGUCGCGGAGAAGUCCAGUUGCACCAGGAGGUGAUCUGACCAUGGCACUUCUUUUGUUUCACUUUUACUUAGUGUCAGAACACCCACGUCACUAGAGGUGAACACCAGGUCUAAGGCAUGUCCGUGACUAUGAGUUGGGCCAAACUUAUUCAGGGACAGCCCCAUGGAGGCCAUGCUUUCCACGAAGUCCCGAGCGGCCCCCUGUAAAGUCAUGUCGGCAUGGAUGUUAAAAUCCCCUAGGACAACCAAACUAGGUGUCUCCAGGAGAACAUCCGCCACGACCUGAAGCAGCUCGGACAGGGAAUCCUUGGUGCAGCGGGGAGGUCGGUACACCAAAAGGAAUCCUGUACUGCCCCUAUUGCCCAACUUCCAGAACAUGCACUCAGAGAACUGGGUCUUCCCAGUAGGACGCCUGAUGCAAGCUAAUGACUUCCUAAAAAUCACUGCAACCCCCCCCUCCCCACCCACAUGACCUGGGUUGCUGUGCAUAAGAGAAACCUGGUGGGCAAGCAGCGGCAAGGACAGGCCCAUCUGCUUCAUCCAACCAGGUCUUUGUCACACGUGCCAGGUCAAAUCCUCCAUCUACAAUCAAGUCAUGGAUGGCAGUGCUUUUAUUCAUCAUUGACCUGGCAUUACACAGCAACACCUUCAGGUCAUGUGGGUUUCCCCUGUUGAUUCCAGUAUCCAUCCGGUCAAGGCCAGACCCGGAGGCAGGGAUAGUCUUCAAACAACGACUAAACCUGCCUCCUCGAUAAUGACAUGCUCUGGUCUUAGCGUAACUCCUCCUCCUGCCCAUGAUCACAGAGAUUGGAUGUCCCAG
Molecule: non-coding RNA, 1481 nt
Organism: Podarcis lilfordi (Lilford's wall lizard)
Lineage: Eukaryota; Metazoa; Chordata; Lepidosauria; Squamata; Lacertidae
Source: the annotation of a GenBank genome assembly